This 74-nucleotide transfer RNA is filed under the name Anaerolineae bacterium. RNAcentral describes it as "tRNA-Arg". It matches the Rfam family "tRNA". Rfam says of the family: Transfer RNA (tRNA) molecules are approximately 80 nucleotides in length. Their secondary structure includes four short double-helical elements and three loops (D, anti-codon, and T loops). The record is from RNAcentral. Lineage: Bacteria; Bacillati; Chloroflexota; Anaerolineae.
GGGGCCGUAGCUCAACUGGAUAGAGCAUCGGAUUUCUACUCCGAUUGUUGGAGGUUCGAGUCCUCCCGGCCCUG